GACGAACGCUGGCGGCGUGCUUAACACAUGCAAGUCGAACGAUGAAGCCGGCGCUUGCUCUGGUGAAUUAGUGGCGAACGGGUGAGUAACACGUGAGUAACCUGCCCUUGACUCUGGGAUAACUGCUAGAAAUGGUAGCUAAUACCGGAUACGACCUUCGGAGGCAUCCCCAGGGGGUGGAAAGAAUUUCGGUCAAGGAUGGACUCGCGGCCUAGCAGCCAGUUGGUGUGGGCACGGCUCACCAAGGCGACGACGGGUAGCCGGUCUGAGAGGGGGACCGGCCACACUGGGACUGAGACACGGCCCAGACUCCUACGGUAGGCAGCAGUGGGGAAUAUUGCACAAUGGGCGCAAGCCUGAUGCAGCAACGCCGCGUGAGGGAUGACGGCCUUCGGGUUGUAAACCUCUUUUAGUAGGGAAGAAGCGAAAGUGACGGUACCUGCAGAAAAAGCACCGGCUAACUACGUGCCAGCCGCCGCCGUAA
RNAcentral lists this ribosomal RNA (484 nucleotides) under uncultured bacterium. RNAcentral's name for it is "partial 16S ribosomal RNA". It matches the Rfam family "Bacterial small subunit ribosomal RNA", at positions 28 to 523 of the family's 1533-position model. The record is from RNAcentral.